RNAcentral lists this ribosomal RNA (454 nucleotides) under uncultured bacterium. RNAcentral's name for it is "partial 16S ribosomal RNA". It matches the Rfam family "Bacterial small subunit ribosomal RNA", at positions 28 to 507 of the family's 1533-position model. The record is from RNAcentral.
GAUGAACGCUGACAGAAUGCUUAACACAUGCAAGUCCACUUGAACUUCGGUUUGGGUGGCGGACGGGUGAGUAACGCGUAAAGAACUUGCCUCACAGAUAGGGACAACAUUUGGAAACGAAUGCUAAUACCUGAUAUUAUGAUUUUAGGGCAUCCUAGGAUUAUGACAGCUAUAUGCGCUGUGAGAGAGCUUUGCGUCCCAUUAGCUAGUUGGAGAGGUAACGGCUCACCAAGGCGAUGAUGGGUAGCCGGCCUGAGAGGGUGAUCGGCCACAAGGGGACUGAGACACGGCCCUUACGCCUACGGGAGGCAGCAGUGGGGAAUAUUGGACAAUGGACCAAGAGUCUGAUCCAGCAAUUCUGUGUGCACGAUGAAGUUUUUCGGAAUGUAAAGUGCUUUCAGUUGGGAAGAAAAAAAUGACGGUACCAACAGAAGAAGUGACGGCUAAAUACGUG